Molecule: transfer RNA, 75 nt
Filed under: Candidatus Woesearchaeota archaeon
Lineage: Archaea; Nanobdellati; Candidatus Woesearchaeota
Description: tRNA-Ile
Rfam family: tRNA
About the family: Transfer RNA (tRNA) molecules are approximately 80 nucleotides in length.
Source: RNAcentral
GAGCCCAUAGCUCAGCCUGGUUAGAGCGCUGGUCUUAUAAGCCAGAGUGCCGGGGUUCGAAUCCCCGUGGGCUCA